RNAcentral lists this long non-coding RNA (1195 nucleotides) under Crocodylus porosus (Australian saltwater crocodile). Its description in RNAcentral is "lncRNA (ENSCPRG00005018051.1)". Lineage: Eukaryota; Metazoa; Chordata; Crocodylia; Crocodylidae. The record is from RNAcentral.
CAGCCGGUCGGAUUCAUCUUCCCAGUCCCUCAAAACUAGCGCUGUUACUGUAGGAUCUGGACAGAGAGGCUGAGGAUCAGAAUCACAUUUUCUCCCACCGGCAGUUUGUUGAGAGCAGGGACGGCUCAGGAACAACCCUGAGUGACAGAAAGUGUUGGCCACUGGGUGUCACUAGUGUUCCACAGGAAAGUAACCCAAAGGCAUUGGUAUGGCACCCCAAAAUGAGCCACCUUCUGGAAUGUGCUAGCGGGGAUAGAAAUAGUUGCAGUAUAUCCGCUGGAAAAGAAAAAGAAUGAAAGAAAAUAUAAAUCUUUAGGCUGCUGAUGAUAAAGAACAAUCUUUAUUUGUUCCUCUCAUCAGCAUAAGGACUGUACCAGAUGUUUCAGACUGUGUAUUUCCCUCUCUCCACCACCGUCAAACCUCCUGGACUGCUUACCAUGCUCUAUUGCAGACCCAAGAAGUACUGUAGUGAUGGACAAGAAUGGAGGUUUGCAUCAUCUUGUUAUAUCGUUGUCAUUUCCAGCUACCUAUUAGGUUUAUUUCUUCAGGAUUAUUUUUCUGGAAAUGCAGUUAUUACAAGCUUUUGCCUCUUCUGGGACAAAGAAAAAAUGGCUCCUUUGUGCAACCACCUCCUUACGUCCUUCAAUAGCGUUACAGCAUGUGCAAUACCAUUGCAGUUCAUUGCACAAAUGACAUUGUGAUUUGUGAAGACCCUUCGCUGGCUUUCUGAAUGCAACACUAGCCCGAGGCAUGACCGCUUCCCCGCACUGCAAGAGGAUGUAAGCUGAUCCUGUCCGGGGGAGGAUGGAGCUCAUGUGAAAAGAGGACUUCAUUGAAAAGAGCUUCUGAGGGGAUUGACUCAAGCGAGCGACUCUUCUUUAUGUAAAGAAAACUGCCCGCGUGCAGGCAGCGUAAGAAUAGAUGGAGACCUGUCAUAAAAUGAUACAUAGGCAGCUAAGUGAAGCUCAAGCAUUCAUAAAGAAACAAUGUUAUCAAAGAUGAAUAGCUUGGAAACUGCUUUUAGGAACAUUUACACAGGGCUUCACCUCCUGGCAACACAGAAACUUCAACGCCGUUAAACCGAGCUGACUCAGAGUCGUGCGGGAGAGUUUUACAGAAAGCUUCCCCCUCCCCGACAGGGUCUACACAAAGGUGGUGGGGGGGGGGGUGGGAUAACACAAAGAAGUCAUUCCAA